Long non-coding RNA from Puntigrus tetrazona (Sumatra barb), 1521 nucleotides. RefSeq lists it as uncharacterized. The transcript has 3 exons. NCBI's taxonomy places the organism in Eukaryota, Metazoa, Chordata, Actinopteri, Cypriniformes, Cyprinidae. The record is from RefSeq and is a predicted model, not a curated record.
UGGCAUUUCUGGACGUGAUCCCAAAUCAUGCUUAUGACACCAUCGGUCUGAGAGACGCCGCAGCUCGGGCUGAACCUGCGUGAGUGCGCGGCAGUAAUCGUAUCUAAUGGCCUCUUCCCGCACAACAGGUUGUGAUCAAUUUAAUGAAGAUGCAUCAAGGCAUUUUUUUAUGAAAUAUGCAGUGUGCGUCUAGAAAGUGAACUGCCAUAUCGCCAGUGAGUCUGCAGUUUUAAGGACGUUCCAUCAGCGGGGAGCAAAGAAGCAGAACUUCCUGGCUCUAAAUCCGAACUGCACAAUGCAUACGUUUGUACCAUGCUGGUUGUCAGACAGGAAGUAAUCCAGCGGACAUUGGCCUUAACCUCUUAAUUUGAGUCAUGGUCUGAAAUCGUUCAAUAAACACUCAGAAAGUCAUUCGGUGAGUCACAAGCUUCCUUGUAUUCAGUUAAGAUGCUGCUUUGCCUUCUUUGAAGGUGUUUUCCUGCUCAUUCAGAGCUCAUUGCAACAUUUAUGAAAGGUUGAUAUUAUAUAAAUCUAUUAAAAUGCAUUUUAAUACAGCACAACAUUUUGCACAUUUUGAAACAGAAUUCAAUAACCCCAAGCACAAAAGAAGAAUCCAUCUUAGUCUCCGCAUUGCCAAAGACAAAUAAUGUAUGCAACAACUAGUUCAGUGAUUCUGCCUAGAAAAGCUUAAAAAACCGCUGACUCUGCUCAGAAACCCUCCAACAAGAUUUUAGACGGCGCACAUCAGCAGACUCAAUUCUGUUGGGUUUAUGCAAAAACGGCAACGAAUUAAGUUGUUGAACUAGAAAAUCUAAUACUACAGUUUGUCAUCGUACAGCGCAUUCCUUGAACUGAAAUGAAUUAGUAUUUUCUGUGUUGAGGCACGAAUCGACUUCGCCAGCCUUGAACUACAAACACGUUUCAAAAGUCAAAGUCAGGUAAACCUCUCUCUGACUCGAGUACACUCACGCCGUCUAUUUUCAAAAGCAGCAUUCACAGAUAUUAAAAGAGUAGUAUGCUUUGUUGUUGUCACAUGACCUCUUUAUGCAGCAUAUACAGUUCGGCAAGUAAAGGAUAAUAUCCUGUACAUCCAGCUAAAAAUCAACCCACGGCGCACAAAAGCAAACGGUUUUUAAACUUGGCAAACAAGUUCAAACAUUAUGGGUGUUUAAGGGAAAAUGCAACUAUACCACUUAUUUUUUUUUACUACUUGAAUAAAGACUGUCAUGAAAUAUUGAUUUGAAUAUAAUCCAUUACAGUAUACAUUUCUAUUUGAAUGUAGUCAAUAACUGAGGUGCAAGAUGGCACUUUUUGUGCUUGAAUAAAACGAGAGAUUGUGUGCUACGGGAGAUAUUUAAACUCCAUCUCAUAUACCCAGUGUAUUGCCAGUUAUUAUACAGCUUUACUAUUGGCGUCAGUCAUUAUUAGGAAAAACUGACCCAGAAUGUCACAACAGACCAAUCACAAUCGAGCAUUUCAGAGCACCGUUUGAGAUUCAAUUACCUUCUCAAAAUAUGAUUA